Molecule: long non-coding RNA, 352 nt
Organism: Saccostrea cuccullata (small rock oyster)
Lineage: Eukaryota; Metazoa; Mollusca; Bivalvia; Ostreida; Ostreidae
Exons: 2
Source: RefSeq, a predicted model, not a curated record
UCGUUUUACAAUGUCGUAGGAAAACACAUACAGGUAAUACACUCAGGUAACAUCCCUGUGUAUAUAGGUAGUAUGUACACUAGACAGCGUCGUUCCCUCGGGGCUUCUCAUCCGCUUCGAGUAAGCUCCACUCCACACCAAACUUGAGGAAAACCGAACGGUAACACAGACAUCUGAAAACUUGAAGCUUGGCAACUUGCUGAUUAAAAUAAGUUAAUUUCUGUGUUGUGUGUUCAAAUAUUUUAAGGGCCCAUAUUUGUGUUUGUGUUUUAUUUGAACCGGAGAAAUCUGAAAUUUGUUUAUGUUCAUUGACAUGAUUUUAGUAAUUUUCGAAAAGAGCAGAAAAUAGAAA